This 940-nucleotide ribosomal RNA is filed under the name Inocybaceae sp. RNAcentral describes it as "partial large subunit ribosomal RNA". It matches the Rfam family "Eukaryotic large subunit ribosomal RNA", at positions 38 to 960 of the family's 3401-position model. Lineage: Eukaryota; Fungi; Basidiomycota; Agaricomycetes; Agaricales; Inocybaceae. The record is from RNAcentral. RNAcentral also lists the same sequence under 1 other name.
GCAUAUCAAUAAGCGGAGGAAAAGAAACUAACAAGGAUUCCCUUAGUAACUGCGAGUGAAGUGGGAAGAGCUCAAAUUUGAAAUCUGGCAGCUCUAUAGUUGUCCGAAUUGUAAUCUGGAGAAGUGCUACCUGUGCUGGACCAUGUACAAGUCUCCUGGAAUGGAGCAUCAUAGAGGGUGAGAAUCCCGUCUUUGACAUGGACUCCCAGGACUUCAAUGGUACGCUCUCAAAGAGUCGAGUUGUUUGGGAAUGCAGCUCAAAAUGGGUGGUAAAUGCCAUCUAAAGCUAAAUAUUGGCGAGAGACCGAUAGCGAACAAGUACCGUGAGGGAAAGAUGAAAAGAACUUUGGAAAGAGAGUUAAACAGUACGUGAAAUUGCUGAAAGGGAAACGCUUGAAGUCAGUCGCAUCAGCUGGAAAUCAACCUUUGCUUUUGCUUGGUGUACUUUCCAUCUUGAUGGGUCAGCAUCAAUUUUGGCUGCUGGAUAAAGUUCUUGGGAAUGUAGCAUCUCAGGAUGUGUUAUAGCUCUUGGACGUAUACAGCAGUUGGGAUUGAGGAACUCAGCACGCCAUAUAGGCUGGGCUUGUCCACAUAACGUGCUUAGGAUGCUGGCAUAAUGGCUUUAAUCGACCCGUCUUGAAACACGGACCAAGGAGUCUAACAUGCCUGCAAGUGUUUGGGUGGAAAACCCAUGCGCGCAAUGAAAGUGAUAGUUGAGAUCCCUGUCAUGGGGAGCACCGACGCCCAGACCAGAGCUUUUGUGACGGAUCUGCGGUAGAGCAUGCAUGUUGGGACCCGAAAGAUGGUGAACUAUGCCUGAAUAGGGUGAAGCCAGAGGAAACUCUGGUGGAGGCUCGUAGCGAUUCUGACGUGCAAAUCGAUCGUCAAAUUUGGGUAUAGGGGCGAAAGACUAAUCGAACCAUCUAGUAGCUGGUUCCUG